RNAcentral lists this ribosomal RNA (801 nucleotides) under Triticum aestivum (bread wheat). Its description in RNAcentral is "partial small subunit ribosomal RNA". Lineage: Eukaryota; Viridiplantae; Streptophyta; Magnoliopsida; Poales; Poaceae. The record is from RNAcentral.
AUGGGUUUUGAAGAUGGGCGAGCCUACACUGUUAGCGUGCCAUGCGUACAUGCUAUAUGGGCUGGGCCAGUUCUUUGUGCCGUGCAACUUACAUUUGGAAAAAGGAAGCCAUGCUGGGUGUCAUGGGAUAUUAUGACACGGCCAAAACACCUUGAAGGUUUGGGAUUCAAGGACAUGAAGAUUUUCAAUUUAGCGCUCCUGACGAGACAAGCAUGGCGCAUACAUACAAAUGAUACACCAUUGAGCGCUAGGAUGUUCAAGGCAAUUUAUUUUCCGAGUUGCAGCUUGCUAGCAGAGUUGGGAUCUCAUCCUUCUCAGAUUUGACGUGCGAUUUUGGACGGCCGAGACAUUAUGGCUCAAGGACUCAUCCGGAGGAUUGGGGAUGGGACGAGUACGGCGAUUUGGACACAUAACUGGAUUCCUCGUGCUCACUUUAAAUGUCCGAUAACCUCUCUGGUCCCUAACCCUCCGCUUAUGGUUGCUCAGCUUAUAGACAACACGAACGCCUCCUGGAAUGAGAAUCUGGUCAGGUCGGUGUUUACUCACUUUGAUGCAGAAGAGAUCCUUAAAAUACCGCCGUGCACACGUACAAUUCCAGAUUUCUGGGCAUGGCAUGAGGAAAGCAAGGGAAUUUUCACAGUCCGGUCUGCCUACCGAAUGAUCUUGCGCACAAAGCUUAGUAGGGAGGGCUGGAUUGAAGGGAAGCGGGCACUUCAGAAAACCAGUCCGAGAGUAAUCAGUGGUCCUCUAUCUGGCAUAUCAAAGUUCCAUCGAAACUUCGGGUUUUUGUAUGGAGACUAG